AUUGAACGCUGGCGGCAGGCCUAACACAUGCAAGUCGAGCGGAUGAAGGGAGCUUGCUCCUGGAUUCAGCGGCGGACGGGUGAGUAAUGCCUAGGAAUCUUCCUGGUAGUGGGGGAUAACGUCCGGAAACGGGCGCUAAUACCGCAUACGUCCUGAGGGAGAAAGUGGGGGAUCUUCGGACCUCACGCUAUUAUAUGAGCCUAGGUCGGAUUAGCUAGUUGGUGGGGUAAAGGCCUACCAAGGCGACGAUCCGUAACUGGUCUGAGAGGAUGAUCAGUCACACUGGAACUGAGACACGGUCCAGACUCCUACGGGAAGCAGCAGUGGGGAAUAUUGGACAAUGGGCGAAAGCCUGAUCCAGCCAUGCCGCGCGUGUGAAGAAGGUCUUCGGAUUGUAAAGCACUUUAAGUUGGGAGGAAGGGCAGUAAGUUAAUACCUUGCUGUUUUGACGUUACCAACAGAAUAAGCACCGGCUAACUUCGUG
This 484-nucleotide ribosomal RNA is filed under the name uncultured bacterium. RNAcentral's name for it is "partial 16S ribosomal RNA". It matches the Rfam family "Bacterial small subunit ribosomal RNA", at positions 30 to 507 of the family's 1533-position model. The record is from RNAcentral.